RNAcentral lists this ribosomal RNA (253 nucleotides) under uncultured bacterium. Its description in RNAcentral is "partial 16S ribosomal RNA". It matches the Rfam family "Bacterial small subunit ribosomal RNA", at positions 524 to 776 of the family's 1533-position model. The record is from RNAcentral.
UACGUAGGGUCCGAGCGUUGUCCGGAAUUAUUGGGCGUAAAGGGCUCGUAGGCGGUCUGUUGCGUCGGGAUUGAAAACUUACAGCUUAACUGUGAGCGUGCUUCCGAUACGGGCAGACUUGAGGUAUUCAGGGGAGAACGGAAUUCCUGGUGUAGCGGUGAAAUGCGCAGAUAUCAGGAGGAACACCGGUGGCGAAGGCGGUUCUCUGGGAAUAUCCUGACGCUGAGGAGCGAAAGUGUGGGGAGCGAACGGG